This is a non-coding RNA of Coturnix japonica (Japanese quail), 912 nucleotides long. The record is from the annotation of a RefSeq genome assembly. NCBI's taxonomy places the organism in Eukaryota, Metazoa, Chordata, Aves, Galliformes, Phasianidae.
UUGUUAGGGAAGGAAAUGCUGUGUGAUUCUGGCUAUGGCUCCAACAAGCUGACCUUUGGCUCAGGGACCAGACUUUCUGUUCAGCCACAUGUUACUCCAUCUCCUUCAGUCUACAGGCUGACCUCUGCAGAUGACAAGAAUUUGGAAAUGUGCCUCAUCACGGAUUACUCCCCUGAAAAGCUUGAUCUUAGCUCAGUUGAUAGUAAGACAGAAGCUGUUGUGGAAGUGGCAACAUCUGAGAACAAACAUGAAGUGAGCUACCUGUCAACCUACUGGGCCAAGAAGGAUGAAAUGCAGUGUGGUGCCAAGCACGAGGGAUUUGGAAUACUAGAAGGAGGUGAUCCUGAAGCAGGUGUCAGCAGUGUCUGCAUUACAGGGAUGUCGCCGCACUUCAAGACAGAUGAGAACCUGAACAUGCUGACUUUUUCACAACUGGGCCUGAAAAUAAUUUUAUUAAAAGCAAUAAUUUUUAAUGUGGUGAUGACGAUGCUUAUGUGGAAAAAAAAUGAAGGAAAGUAACCAGACAGCGCAGAUGUGAAGUACUGAAAAAAAUCUGCUGAAGAAUCAUUAUUGGAAUAAUGGGUGCAAGAGGUUCUGCUACUGCAAUAUAGAAUACAAUUCAGUUUUCCUGUGUAUCACACCAGCCAUUAUAGUCUAAACUGCUUUAUGUGCAUCUUUAUAAAGCUACUCAGAAAUAUGCUUACAAUUCUCAGCAUUGUGCUUAGUUAGCAUGAUUUUUUUUAAGAAGUAGAGAUUGCUGUAACUGUAUUGUCAAACAUCUCUAUUACUUGCAUUAAAACAACAUAAAAUUUCUGCUUCUAUCAAAUUGUUAAGGUCUACAUGGCAUUUCUUUAGGCCUAUUAAAUAAUUAUUACUGAUAACAAUAAACUUAUUCAGUUUUUGUAUCUCUCA